Molecule: ribosomal RNA, 290 nt
Filed under: uncultured bacterium
Lineage: Bacteria
Description: partial 16S ribosomal RNA
Rfam family: Bacterial small subunit ribosomal RNA
Source: RNAcentral
GGAUUAGAUACCCUGGUAGUCCACGCCGUAAACGAUGGAUACUAACUGUUGGGCCGAAAGGUUUAGUGGUGAAGCUAACGCGAUAAGUAUCCCGCCUGGGGAGUACGGCCGCAAGGUUAAAACUCAAAGGAAUUGACGGGGACCCGCACAAGCGGUGGAGCAUGUUGUUUAAUUCGAUGCAACGCGAAGAACCUUACCUAGACUUGAUCCCUAUCAUAGCUCUUGUAAUGAGAGUGUCAGUUCGGCUGGAUAGGUGACAGAUGCUGCACGGCUGUCGUCAGCUCGUGCCG